RNA transcript from Strigops habroptila (Kakapo), 6901 nucleotides. It is a transcript of the gene named PNN interacting serine and arginine rich protein, with no coding region annotated. The transcript is spliced from 10 exons. The record is from RefSeq and is a predicted model, not a curated record. Lineage: Eukaryota; Metazoa; Chordata; Aves; Psittaciformes; Psittacidae.
ACUUCCGGGUGAGCGUCGCUAGGCGCCAUAUUGUCUUGUUCGUGAAGACGAGGAGCGAAAGAGGGGAGGCGGCGGCGGGGCGGCAGUAGCGGCAGCGCCUGCGGCGGGAGGCGGGGGACAGUGUCCAUCUCCAGAGCCUAAGCCUAUAUGGGACAGAGAAACUCUGUCUGCACAGUAUGUGGUGCUUUUGAGAUCCUUCUCAGGGUGUGAGAUGGAUGACUCCCUGCAGUCCAGGAAUUCCACGAAGAGCAUCGAACAGAGACUGUUGAAAUAUAGACUAUAUAAAGACUUAAAAGAUGUGGGAUCAAGGUGGACAACCUUGGCAGCAAUGGCCUUUGAACCAACAGCAGUGGAUGCAGUCAUUUCAGCACCAGCAAGAUCCAAGCCAGAUUGACUGGGCUGCAUUAGCUCAAGCAUGGAUUGCUCAGCGAGAAGCCUCAGGGCAACAGAGUGUAGUGGAACAACAAGGAAUGAUGCCAAACGGACAGGAUAUUUCAGGAAUAGAGUCUGGUCCAAACAACCAUAAUAAUUUUCAGGGGGAUCCCAACUUCAACAGAAUGUGGCAGCCAGAAUGGGGAAUGCCUCACCAGCCCCCUCACCCACCUCCAGAUCAGCAGUGGAUGACUCCAACCCCAGGUCAAAUGGAAAUUGUUCCUCCAUCCGAAGACAGCAACAGUCAGGACAGUGGGGAAUUUGCUCCCGACAACAGGCAUAUGUUUAACCAGAACAAUCACAACUUUGGGGGACCUCCCGAUAACUUUGCAAUGGGGCCAGUGAACCAGUUUGACUAUCAGCAUGGGGCUGCUUUUGGUCCACCUCAAGGUGGCUUUCACCCACCUUAUUGGCAGCCAGGACCACCAGGGCCACCAGGUCCACCAGCACCUUCUGCACCUCCUCAAAAUCGAAGGGAAAGACCCUCAUUCAGAGACCGACAGCGUUCACCUAUCACGAUGCCUGUGAAGCAGGAGCCUCCACAGAUUGAUGCUGUGAAGCGUAGAACUCUGCCUGCGUGGAUUCGCGAGGGCCUGGAAAAGAUGGAACGAGAAAAACAGAAAAAGUUGGAAAAAGAGAGGAUGGAGCAGCAACGUUCACAGUUGUCUAAAAAAGAAAAAAAGGAAAGUGAGGAGCCUGAAGAAGGGGAUGGCCCACGGUUACCUCAGAAAAGUAAAUUUGACAGCGAUGAGGAAGAUGAAGAUGCUGAAAACGCAGAAGCCGUAAGCGCUGGGAAAACCAGCAGGAGUCCAUCCCCAGCUCCUCAAGAGGAGCAAAGCGAACCAGAAAUGACAGAAGAAGAAAAGGAGUAUCAAAUGAUGAUGCUGACAAAAAUGCUGCUGACAGAGAUUCUCCUAGAUGUCACAAAUGAAGAAAUUUACUAUGUGGCCAAAGAUGUUCACCGUAAAGCAACUAAAGGUAUGCCAGCUCUUUUUGGGGUUUUUUUUUUUUGUUAGUUUCUUCAGUGAAUAUUCUAUAUUUGCAUGUCUCUAGAACAUUUAACCUCCAUAGUUAUUCCCCAAGAACAAUUUUAGUAUAAUGCAUCCAACUUGGUAGAGUUCAAAUCCAGUAAUCAUGUACUGUCGUUCUGUGCAGUGUAUUGUGAGUUACUUCAGUUACUCCAUUUCUUUCAUACAAUUCAUUUUAGAUAAAAUGGUACCUGUGUGUCAAUGGCUCUUGAGUUGUAGCUGUUUCUUAAUGCUAUCAUCUUGUAUCUCAAGUUCCUAGCUGUGCAGAAGUGAAAAGAGACAAACUUUGAGUCCUCAAUUAGCAAUUAAUUUCCUUUCACUAUUAACACAUAUUGUACUUGCAUAACCGAUUUCUUUAACAUAACUGAGUAAUCUAAAUAUGUAACUACUGAAACUUGAAAAUGAUGUGCAGAUGCUGUAACUUGGAAAGUGAUUUAUGAGUAUAUAUUUGUGUCUUUUUUUCUGUUCACUGUUAAUUUGCAGUUAGAUUCUAAAUCUUUGUGGUCAGAAAAUCUAGAAGUGGUUUUAAAUGGAUGAUGCGUUUUUAAUGUUUCUUCUCUCCCUCCAAAGAACAGCAAUAGUAGUAGAUUUAACAAUACCAUAGACUCAUGACUAUGAAAUCGUGGCUAUUUGUGUUAACAUGUUGUUCCUGUUGUUGAUGUGAUACAAAGCUCCUGCAAAACAGCUGGCACAGUCCAGUGCACUGGCUUCCCUCACUGGACUCGGUAAGUAUGUUCCUUAUUUUUGAGAGGGCUUAAAGGGGGAGUUUCACUCUUGCCUUGCGUUUCUAGAAUUGCAUUUUGAAACUAGAUUUUAAUUGCCCAGGAGUAUGGGUCACUUUCUGAUAACUUUAUCAGCACCUUUGUUUGUUCCACAGGUGAUCCUAAUGAUAUAAGUGGGAUGGUUUUUGGAGUAAAGGACUAGUCAGUGUGAGUUAGUGUAUGAGAAUCUUGCCCUAAUUUUGAAAAUACAUAAAAACUUCAGAUAAAUUCACUUUUCAAAGUAUGAUUGUUUCAGAAGCAUACUGCAGUCUUCAGAGAGAGGAAUACUGUUUGUAUUUUUUUCCUAUUUUGAUCCGUCCAAACAAGAAGGGAAAGCUGAUAGAUUAAUGUGAAAGUCUAGGAAUAAAAAUAUUAUCUUUGGUAGUAUUAUUUUACUGAAAAGCUACAUAAACACAAAAACUCCCAUAUCAUGUAUUACCAGAAACAACACAGAAAAAAGAAAUCCCAGCUUGAGACACAACAGCAAAAGAUCUUUCCCAACAUGUUUUUUAUCAUCUAAAACAUACUGCAGCAGUGUCAGUGAUUAAUUAUGUGUUCGUAACUUGCAGUUCUGAUUAAUCAGGUUGAAUGUUAUCAUCACAAUUAUUCACGUUUUAAAACUAAGUCAAUAAAGAUCAUAAGAACCUCAGACUGAAAGAAAGUAAAAUAUCUCCAUGUCAGAUGUUUAAAUUGACCUUAUCUUAUCUUUCUUAUCAGUCCAGUAGUUAUUACUAUCUCUAGGGGAGAAGAAAGUCCAUUUCUGUUCCAUCUCCAUACCUGUCAAAGUGCAGUGUUUUCUAAAUCAAUAUAGGAAAAUUGAUAUGGCAUUCAGAAUUUCUGUAGCCUUGGACUACGGAGGCGGCUGAAGUACUUUCAGAGGUGUCUUCUGGGAAAGGUCCCAGGCAUUUUCUGUCCGGUUGCUGAUACAGAGGCAGGCACUGUUACAAUCUCCACAGGGAGCUUUUUUGCUCUUCCGUGCAAUGGAAAAAGUACCAUGAUCACAGUGGUUGCCUGCUGAAAAUAGACGUUCCAGAAGGAGUAGAACCAGACAGUGAGCAUCAAUGCAGAUAUGGGGGCCUUGAUCACAGCAGUCAAACGCCAUUGGCACUUACCAGAAUAAAGUGACUUCAUCAGAGAAGAGGAAGUGAAGGAAGGGCAAUGUUACUCUCCUCUUUGCCCCACAGAAAUAUUAGGAACAAAGCUUAAUCUUUCCUCGUGAUAGACUGGACUUUAUGCACGCAGGUGGACUGGGUGGUUAUGGAUCAGGAGACAGUGAAGAUGAGAGGAGUGACAGAGCCUCUGAAUCAUCUGAUACUGAUGAUGAGGAAUUACGGCACAGAAUCAGGCAAAAACAGGAAGCAUUUUGGAGAAAAGAGAGAGAACAGCAACUACUACUAGAAAAACAGCUAGAAGAAGAAAAGCUACAAAGUGAAAAAGUUUCAAAAGAGAUGAAUGAAUUUAUCAACAAAGAACAAAAUAGUAACUCAGCAUCACAGGAGGCAAAAGAAAUUGAAGCAGAAACGGUUCAUGAAAAGAAAAGAUCUCCAAAUGCAAUUGCACCUGAUACAGAGCUUAAAAAAGAGGGUAAAGAGAGGACAGGAAGGAGCGGGUCAGGAAGCUCUAGCAGUGGUAGCAGUAGCAGCAAUAGCAGAAGCAGUAGCAGCAGCAGCACUGUAUCUAGUUCAUCCUAUAGCACUAGCUCAGGUAGUAGUCGCAGCUCUUCACGUUCUUCCUCUCCUAAAAGGAAGAAGAGGCACAGUCGCAGUAGGACACCUUCACAUAAAGUUAGGCGCAGCAGAAGCAGGAGUUACUCCCACAGAAAUAGGAGAGAGAGAAGUCGGAGCAGGGAGAAAAUAAGGGAAAGGAGAAGAUCUAGUAGGAAUCACAGUGCUGAAAGAGGGGAGAGGCGAAGAAAUCGGAGUCCUUCGAGAGAGAGAAGCUGGGACAGACGUAGUAGCCGUUCCAGAGACAGGCGAGCUAACCGUGCAAGCCGCAGCAGAAGCAGGGAUAGACGUAAAGCUGAAGACCAGCGUAGAAGCCCUCCUGGAAAUAGGCACAAACAUAAAAGUGAGGGUAAAGACCAAGAAAGGAAGAAGGAGCAGGGCGGAGCUGUAGAUAAGGACAGAAAAAAGAACAGAGAAAGGGAGAAAGAUCAGGAAAAAAGGAAAGACAGGUCCAAAAAAGAGGAAAAAGAAAGUAAGGCUGGCAAUCAUGACGACAGUAGAUUAAAGAGAAAAAGGGACAGCGAAAGAACUUUCUCUCGCGGUGAUUCCAUAUGUGUGAAAAUAAUAAGACAGGAUUCCAGGCAAGAAUGCAAAAAAAUUACUACCAAAGAUAGCAAAAAACGGUCAGGCUCCGAAUCUAGUGCGAGGAGUAGUUCUGAAUCACCAGGAAGCAGCAAAGAAAAGAAGGCUAAGAAAUCGAAGCAUAUUCGGUCAUGUUCCAUGGAGAAAUCUCAAAGGUCUGGUAAGAAGGCAAGCCGCAAACACAAGUCUAAGUCACGAUCAAGGUAGUAUACUUUUUAAGUAUUUUGUCUGACUUUUUACUUUUAUUUUUUUAUAUUCGUCUUCAUGUGUACGGCAUAUGAACUUUUUUUAAUAAAGUAUGGUAUUUAUUAAUUUUUUUGUCUUAGGCAAAAGUAACUUUGGAAAAAUCUUUUAAAACUAUUAAUUACUAAAGCCUAAAGUGUGUGUGGGUUUGGGGGUCUUUUAUGUUUUCCAAUUAACUUUUCCCCCAUUUUCCUUCUCUUUUUCAGAUCAAUGACUCCUCUUCGUCGUAAACGCUGAGGAAUUUAUGGCACCAGUGCUAUGAUGUUUAAAAAUUCCAUGAGUUAUAAAGGCUUGUCUCAUUAUAGAGGCACAUUGUGGCUAUGUAGGUGAAACCAGAAUCCUUUUUUUAUCUGUAAAUAGGUGUAUUUUUUCCAAAUGCUGCUCAGAAUUAAAUACCUAAUAGGAUUUCUUUGUAUUACUUUUUUCCCCCCACCAAGAACGGUAGUGCUUAUUAAGAAUAUAAACCAGGCCAUUCUCUUUCAGCUGUAAUGUUCUUAAAAUUACUAUUGAAUGUACUGUGAUGUCAAUAAAGCUCUUUAGUUCAUUUUUUUGUUUAAAAUUCUUGCACCUGAAUUUUGUGUUAAAUUGUAGAAAGUACUUUUUUUUUUUUAAAGAAAAAACAAAAAGGCAGCUUUUUUUGUAUAACAAUUUUUAAAGUACUUGAAAAAGAUUUUAACGUAAACCACUUGUCAGAAUAUGUAAUCCAUGGACACGAUGAGAUUAAUCUAUUGGGGGGUGUGGAAGAACAAAGCAAAGACAUCUUAUUUUUCCUUUCGAUCUGUGUAAUAGAUUUUUAAUAACUUUUUUAUUUGGACUAGCAAGUAAUAUAUGCUGUGUGUGUAAAAUAUGGGUCACCGUAAUACAAGCUAUACUGAAACAGACUGAACCCCAGUAGGAAUAUGCGCAACUAACUGAUCUUGUGUGACAGUGUUAAGCUGUGGAACUAUAUUCCUCACCCAGUUUUCAGAGAGGACUUUCUGAAUGUCCAGGGAUAUUACAGGAACAAGACUCUAUUUUAGAUGUUUUUAUGGAAUAUAUUUAUAAAUGGCACUCAGUACACAGUAGAGAACUGACAGUAGGUUAACUUUACAUUUUGGCACAUGCAUUAAAUGUGUAGUGAACAUUAAAGCUGCUUAUUUUUGUUAGUGUUACAAGAAUUGUGAUUCCUGUAAAACCUAAUACAGUGGUGAGACAGCAACGUAACUAAAUUUUUGGUUUUAGUAUCACCAUAAAGUGAAAAGGUCACUGAUUUUACCUCCUUCUUCAGGAAAUUAACUGCUACUGUUAGUAGCAGGAGUGUGAAAUAAUACUAGUUAACAAAAAACACCAAACCACUACAUAACUCUAGGCCAGUGACUGUUAACGAAGAACAUUAGGAAAUAUGUAGGAAAAGAUGGGAGAUCUCUGCCUAGAAGGUCUGAUACCAACUGUGAAAAAGACAAAAGGCUUAACGUGAAAGUAGGAUAUCUCUGAUGGCUGUAUCUUCUGAGAAAAAAAUCUAGCAGUAUGGGCAAUGUGCAGAGCAUGUCUUCAUGAACAGAUUAAUCCAUUUAACUAAAACUAGAAUUCAGCUAUGCAGCAUUUUUGCCAGUGUAAUUUUUUCGUAAGUUAGAAGUAAACUGCUUCAGUGCAAAGAAUCACAUUUUAACUACAUGUUUAUUAAGCAAGCUAAUGCCUGGUGAAUACAUGAUGCAUGUUUAUCAAAACACUGUUACAGAUAAUAAGUUAAUUGGUUAUAAAUAACAUACCUCCCCCCCCAAUUAAGUCCUUUCACAUAGCGUAUGCACUCAUGCCUGUUAGCAAAAUAAGGCAUAAUUUGCAACACACAAAUUUUACUUGCAUUGGUGUGGAUAUAAAUAAUGAUGUAUUAAUCCAAUCUCAGUACAUGAUUUACUCUUGGUAAAAGGGAGACUUUUUUGAGAAGUAGGUAGCAUAACAGAUGUCUCGGAAGGAUGUCUCUUGAGAGAAGGAAUUAAGUUUAAGAAAAGCUAUUGAGGAAUACAGUUUCCAUGAUGCACUGAAUUUGAUUUUCAGUUCAGAUUUUAUAUUCUCUGUCUAAUAAUAAAAAAGAUUGUGUAUGAAAAGCUUUAUAUACUCUGCCAACAACUGGAAUUCUGUCACUUCCUGUAAA